UAGUCCUGUCUUGAUUUCCCUGUCUCUGGGGCUCUAUGAAUAUUUCUAACUAGAGUCCUUUGGGCUCAUUUGCAAGAAGACUCCCUCCACAGGGCCUGGCUGGUGCCCGGACACUCCACUGGGGAAGGCGGGGUCUGUUUGGACCACAGCUCUGCUUGGUCAGCUCAUAAAUCUGGAGAGCUUCGCGUUAAAACCUCCUUGCAUAGUUUUACAUGGGGAUAACACCGAUUUGGCUUCUGAACUCUCUGAUUUUCUUGUAAACCCAGUGGACGGCUUCAUCCAGGGAAUUCAUGUUUGGGCUCUGUCCUGUCCUCAUAACCACGUCAUCCUAUUUGUGGGCAUGUUGGCCUCUGUGUCCCAGCGAUCCCUGAUGGAGGAUUGUUCCUAAAAGGAGAACCCAUGACUCCUGAAGCUUUGAUGACUCCUACCUGAUGGGAAUGAAGAUGGGAAAGACUUGGUAAUCAAGGAAGUGUGCCAGGCCUUGCGUUCAACCCUGAGAGGAUUGCUGGAAAGGAGAAUUUAAGUCAGCUAAAAGAGAAUGGGACUGUAAGGAUUAACCUGCUCUUUCUAGGCGUGGCAUUUAAAUGCUGACAAGUGAUAAGACUUGGGUUUCCAGAACACAGUAAAUUUUAAAUAUGCAAGGCAAGAGGUUCCCACAGACAAGUUAUUAUCACAUCUGACAUUUUGUGAAAACAGAGAGCAAUGCAUCAAACUGGAAUGCUGAAUGAGAUUCCAUCAUCUCGUGUUGUAAAAGGAAUAUGACCCCAACAGGCCAACAUUUCUGCCCCACCAUGGGAAAAGAACCAUCCAGGUGUGUCCAUUCCUACUGGCUGUAUAUGUAUAAUGUGUAAACAGAAGACACUGCCUUUUUAAGGCUGCUGGUCUAAACACCAGAACCUAGUAGCUACAGUUUUAUCCAGUCGCCAAGCUCAGCUUGGAAAUCUUCCUUCCUACCAAGACUUAACCCUCCUUCCUGGCUGAGCUUGAAGUUGCCUGUGCUGGAAGUCUUUGUCAUCCUUUGCUUGCUCCUUUGUGAGCGUUUGGAUAUUUACACUUCAUUCAUUCUGCUGCAGUUCAGGUAACUUGUCAACAAACCUUCCUUUUUCAGCUUUUCUGUACGCUUUUUUUCCCCCAGUACCGAGGAUUUCACACUGAGGCACAUCUGCAGUCCCUCCCCAACAUUUUUGAGAUAGGGUCUUGGUAAGUUGCCCAGGCUGGGCUGGAAUUUGUGAUCUUCCUGCUUCAGCCUCUCAGAGUCCCUGGCUUCUGUAGGCUUCCUGAAGGCAGGGCUAGUCCCUCGAGACACCUGUCAAAGCACUUCAUACACCAUGAGCACUGAGUGAGUGUGUGUGAACUGAAGUUUACCUGGAAAUUCCUGUAGCAAGGGAGGAAUUCCCACAGACGGGUGGCAGUGGCAAGGUGCAUCUCAGCGGCAUCUGUCAGCCGUGAAAUGCCCUGAUGUAGCACCUCACCAGUCCCUGCACCAGGCAAAUAAUUCUCUACUCCAAGGAAAGGGGGAGGGCUGGGAGAGAACACUUCAGGCCCUCCCUGCCCCAUCCGGCAGCACAUCCUCCCCAUGAGCCCUUGGAUGGCGUCAGUGGUGCCAUGGUAAGGAGGGCAGUCAGUCUGUCUAGGUUGAGUAAUGGUCCAGGGCUAGGUCACCACAGGGUGUGCAUGUUGGUGUGUGUCCAUGUGUAUGAUGUGUGUGUGUGAAUGCACACGGAGGGAGGGGGGACCUGCAACAUAACAGAAACGCCCUAACAGGCAAGGGGCAACCUGGUCCGUGUAGCACACCAGUGAAGGGUCAGCCUUUCCUUCUGGCCCACAAAGCCUGCCCGCUGCAGGCAGUGUGAAAUUUCACUCCAGAAUAGAAGUUAAUAUGUUAAUAGAGACCAGGUUGUUGCCAUAGCAACCACUACAGUAUCCUCUGACUCCUGUUAAUUCAUAAAAACCCAAAGGUGAGCAGAGGUGGUGAUGAUGCCUCUGGUUGAGCCAGUGUGCCGCCCUCGUCUGGCGUGGGGUAGAGGGCUGACUCCCCGGGUGGUGAGGCCCCUGCACACUCUGCAGACAGAGAAGGAUGAAGGACAGACAACUGGUUACCAAGGUAAUACCAGGCUGGGAGCACAAGAGGAGGAAAAAGGAUGGGAGUUACCUGCAGAGCAGAAGCUACUGCCUCCCGGGACCGGAGCCCUUGAUCCCACGUAACUUCCGUGCUCUCCAGGGUGCCAAAGACGGGUGCUUCAGGAGGACAGGGCCAUCAGUGCCAACCACCGGUAGGGCCAAAGCCGCACCAGUCUGGGAGUGUGGGCAGCGUCAGCCCCAUGCUUGCAGCCCAAGCACAAGGUGGGCAUGGAGGGCAAGUGCAAGGCCAGGAAAGUCACCGAGCUGAUCCAGGGAACAGUGUGGCAUGUCCUUGCUCUUGAGUCUUCUCCUGUUUCAGAAGCUGUGUGGACUGAGAUAAAGAAAACAACCAAGUGAGACGGCAGUGCUGGGGGGAGGCUCUGGGAGAUCAUUUGGUCCCCUCUGAGCAAACCCACUUGAGUUUCACAGAUAAGGAAAUAACAGUGUUCAUAAUAGCGGCUUCUUUUUAGUACGUGUGAAAGGGUUCCUGCAUACUUGAGAAACACCACCUCAUUUGUGUCUCAAGACAGUCCAAUGAGAUGGCCGUUAUCUUUGCUUGCAUUUCACAGAUGACAAAACAGACUCCAGAGGCCAACUCACUUACCUGAGGUGCCCUGGCCAGGCAGAGAAAGCCCUGUGCUAUGGUUGUUUACCAAGGCGAUUUCCAUUACACCAUGGCACCAUGCAGCAGACACCUUCCACGGGAUUGCUGUCCUAGAACCGAGCUGUUGGAAAGGGUUCCACUUGCCCAGUUGGCCAGAGACAUAUCUUUGUGGUUAGAUUGAAAUGCAGGGGCAGAACAUGAAGAUCAGGCCACAGAGGCAGUGGAUGCUGGGAGACAAUGUCCACUAUAUCCGUGAAUGCUCCAUGAGCCCUGAGGAUUGGGCCAUUUCCAAGGCCUGAGAAAGCCUGCUUGAGGUGCUGGAGGAGGAAGGGACCUUUAGAUCAGGGAUGAAACAGCUGAGACCAGGAGAAACACUGGAGAAAGAAGCUUGGUGCCCUGGACUGAGGAGGCCUGGACUUGAUCAUUUCAGAACUAGGCCUCAGAUCAUGGGGAAAAGCCUGAAGGAAACACCAAUCUAUGCAAGGAGGUUGUCCUAGACCAACAAAAUGGCCUCUGGGUGGAAAGAGUGAAGUUCCACCUGGAGAAGGCUAUGGAGUGACAGGACUGGGAGGUGUAUGGAGGUUACAGGAUAUGAGGGGUGGAGGAAGGAGAACAGCAAGUGCUAGGAGAAUUGGAAAGGAAUGUUCAGGAACUUAAAGAACAGGGAAGAAAUCUUAGAAACUGCCCAGUGUUUAAAGGCCGAGUCUUAGCUAAGAGACCUUCACCUCUUUCCUCACCUGCCCCCAGGUCCAGUGUGCUAUUUCCUGCAUCCCCAAGGUCGCUGUCCUGGGCCCUCUUUGCUACCACAACUGACUUCCCCAGGUUUAGUCUAUCCCAUCCCCACACCCUACGAAACACACUGUUGACGUUGCUGCUCGGUGCAUAGUCAUCCUUCUUCAGCUCAUCCUUCCCACUCCCAUCCUUUCUGUAGGAGCACCUCCGACUCAUUACCUUCAGGACCCCUUGGGCCCAUCACGUGUCUUCCAAGCACACCAUGCUUGAUUUCUCUUAUCUCACUAGACUGAGUGCUGUGAGUUGGGUCCAAUUCAUCUGGGAUCCUUAUACAAAACCCUGGAGCUCAAAGUUGGUUGUUCAUGUAGGGACAGAAAGUGGUGAACCCUGUUCUUAUCCAUCAUAAGGGCCACAAACAACACUCCUAUAACAACAACCAAAAAAAGAUUAAUAAGAGAAAAUCAGAAUGAAUUUACUUAAACAAGGCUUUAUGUGACAGGAGAACCUUCAGAAAUGAGGACUCAAACUCCAGAGGCAGCUGUCUGUUUUUAUACUUAGAUUGGAUGAAGAAGGCACCGCUAUGUAGAAAUGCGACAGGACGAGUGUAUGAUGUAAUGUAAUAGCAUGGGGGUGCCCGGCAGAGCCUGUCUGGUCAGAUUCUCUUGGUCUCUGUGUAGCGUUCCUCCUCCUGUGGGGGAGAAGGAGCAGGCACCUCUGGAGUGAAGGCCUCCAAGGAAGAAGGAAGAGUGAGCUUUCGAGGUUCAAUGGCCUGCUUUGGAGAGGGUUUUAGUAUCUAUGAGCCACCUUAAGGAAGAGGAAUUCUGGUUUCUUUGACUCCAGAAAAGAAUAAGAGGGAGAGACAGGAGGGCAUUAGACAGGCAGACGCUUUGCUCUUGAGGUUGUCUCUGAGCCCUUCUAAUCUCCUUUGGUUCACAGCACUCAGCAUGCUGGGCAUAGUGAUGCAUACCUGCAGUCCCAGCACUCCGGGAGGCUGAGACAGGAGGAUGGAAAGGUCAAGCCCAGCCUGGACAAUUUAGAGACUUAAUGAGACCCUAUUUCAAAGUAAAAAUUUUAAAAAAUAACAAAGAGCUGUGGAAGUGUGCAUACAAUUUAGGUUCUUCCUAAUACCAAAAAACGCUUUUUUUAAAAGAACUUAGUAUGCCAAAGGUUGGGGUGGCAUUUUCUGAGUCCCAGCAGUAUAAUUAGCAAUAGCAACUUGUCAAUUCCAUUAAAAAGGAGAUAGGAGGUGGUCUGCUGAUAGCCAAAGUUGAAGCUGAAACAAUAGAGUUGAAAAAGCUCAUUCACUGUGCGCCCUCUUGUGGGGAAGAGGACAAAGAACACGUUUUUCUCCUUGUGUUGGGGGUUGGAAUCCCGGGCCUCCUUCAUACUGGACUAGAACUUGUGAACCUCCUGUCUAAGCCUCCAGAGUAGCUGGGCUUACAGGCUUGGACUAUUCUAAUUUCGAAGAUAGAAAUUUAGAUGUUCCCCUAUAUCUUCUUCCUCCUUUUCCACACAUACGUAUAAUACAACAUUAAGGAUAAAUUUUUUUGCCAUAAUAUGAUUUAUGAUUUUGUAAAUGCUUUUCACAGAUGAACUAGGCAGUAUAGUAUAAUUAUAUUUUGUUUCUGGUAACACUCUUUUGUGUUUUUGAACUAGAAAAUCAUUACUUGUUUCAUUUGCUUGGUUUCUAGGCACUUAUCAAAACUAAUACCAAAAAAAAAAGCCCAAAUUUUCUUCUGAAGCUGUUACAAUCUCUCAGAAUUGCCAAACAAAUCUAGACUCUCCAACAAUUCUACUUUAAAAAAAUGAUUGUGUCUAUUCUCCGUGCUACUGCUUAAAUUGAGAUGAUUUUUCCCUCUCAUCUGAGACACACACUCUGGGACCCCACACUUGCUUACCUUUUUAUUCUUUGUAUGAAUAAAAAAAUUGACUUUUAAUAAAUCAAAUGAUUAUA
This is a long non-coding RNA of Chinchilla lanigera (long-tailed chinchilla), 5411 nucleotides long. RefSeq lists it as uncharacterized. The transcript is spliced from 2 exons. NCBI's taxonomy places the organism in Eukaryota, Metazoa, Chordata, Mammalia, Rodentia, Chinchillidae. The record is from RefSeq and is a predicted model, not a curated record.